GUACUUCACGAAACGCUUACGGGAUCUCUUUUAUCUGCAAUUUCCAACUUGUUAACAGAGUUAACUUGCUGGCGAAGUUCACUGGAAGGGACUGCAGAAUGUGGGGGAAAAAAUGCAACUCCUGGAACUGCAGACCAGAAUGGAUGGGG
Long non-coding RNA from Oncorhynchus masou masou (cherry salmon), 149 nucleotides. RefSeq lists it as uncharacterized. The record is from RefSeq and is a predicted model, not a curated record. Lineage: Eukaryota; Metazoa; Chordata; Actinopteri; Salmoniformes; Salmonidae. The transcript is spliced from 3 exons.